ACUAAAAAACAUUUUUGUCAAAACCUCUAGGCCAAGGGAUAAUCUUAAAUGUACAGUUUAUAUGAGGACUAGCCUCCUAAAAGAUGAUGGAGGCAUGUAAAGGUUUUCUCAAACUAGAUGAAGAUUAGCCCUUGAGUGCAAAGGUAGGAGGGAGCUUGACUGCAUGACCCGCCUAUUGAGUAAGGACAAAAGUAAACCUUAGUGAUCUAACAGUGCUAAGUAUAAGGGUCAUCGUUUAAUAGAUAAAAGUUACUUUAAGGAUAACAAGUUAAUCUCCCCCGAGAGUUCACAUUGACGGGUUAUAAUAUAUUUAAAGGGUUGGGUUGUUCGCCCGUUAAAAUAGUACGUAACCUGGAUUUAGAAUGUUGUGAGAUAGUUUAAUCCAUAU
RNAcentral lists this non-coding RNA (388 nucleotides) under Vitis vinifera (wine grape). RNAcentral's name for it is "Bacterial large subunit ribosomal RNA". It matches the Rfam family "Bacterial large subunit ribosomal RNA", at positions 2203 to 2641 of the family's 2925-position model. Lineage: Eukaryota; Viridiplantae; Streptophyta; Magnoliopsida; Vitales; Vitaceae. The record is from Rfam by way of RNAcentral.